RNAcentral lists this ribosomal RNA (253 nucleotides) under uncultured bacterium. RNAcentral's name for it is "partial 16S ribosomal RNA". It matches the Rfam family "Bacterial small subunit ribosomal RNA", at positions 524 to 776 of the family's 1533-position model. The record is from RNAcentral.
UACGGAGGGUGCGAGCGUUGUCCGGAAUCAUUGGGCGUAAAGGGCGCGUAGGUGGCCCGGUCAGCGUGCGGUGAAAGCUCGGGGCUCAACCCCGAGUCGGCCGUGCGAACUGCUGGGCUCGAGCACUGUAGAGGCAGGCGGAAUUCCGGGUGUAGCGGUGGAACGCGUAGAGAUCCGGAAGAACACCGGUGGCGAAGGCGGCCUGCUGGGCAGUGGCUGACACUGAGGCGCGACAGCGUGGGGAGCAAACAGG